Molecule: microRNA precursor, 59 nt
Filed under: Petromyzon marinus (sea lamprey)
Lineage: Eukaryota; Metazoa; Chordata; Hyperoartia; Petromyzontiformes; Petromyzontidae
Description: Pma-Mir-190-o2_pre stem-loop
Source: RNAcentral
UGAUAUGUUUGGUAUAAGGUUGUUUCAGUAACAAUCAACUGUAUAUCAAACAUAUGGUC